This 253-nucleotide ribosomal RNA is filed under the name uncultured bacterium. RNAcentral describes it as "partial 16S ribosomal RNA". It matches the Rfam family "Bacterial small subunit ribosomal RNA", at positions 524 to 776 of the family's 1533-position model. The record is from RNAcentral.
UACGAAGGGGGCUAGCGUUGCUCGGAAUCACUGGGCGUAAAGGGUGCGUAGGCGGGUCUUUAAGUCAGAGGUGAAAUCCUGGAGCUCAACUCCAGAACUGCCUUUGAUACUGAGAAUCUUGAGUAUGGGAGAGGUGAGUGGAACUGCGAGUGUAGAGGUGAAAUUCGUAGAUAUUCGCAAGAACACCAGUGGCGAAGGCGGCUCACUGGCCCAUAACUGACGCUGAGGCACGAAAGCGUGGGGAGCAAACAGG